RNAcentral lists this ribosomal RNA (460 nucleotides) under uncultured bacterium. RNAcentral's name for it is "partial 16S ribosomal RNA". It matches the Rfam family "Bacterial small subunit ribosomal RNA", at positions 338 to 795 of the family's 1533-position model. The record is from RNAcentral.
CCUACGGGUGGCAGCAGUGAGGAAUAUUGGUCAAUGGGCGCGAGCCUGAACCAGCCAAGUCGCGUGAGGGAUGACGGCCCUACGGGUUGUAAACCUCUUUUGCCGGGGAGCAACGGGCGCCACGUGUGGCGCCACUGAGAGUACCCGGAGAAAAAGCAUCGGCUAACUCCGUGCCAGCAGCUGCGGUAAUACGGGGGAUGCGAGCGUUAUCCGGAUUUGUUGGGUUUAAAGGGUGCGUAGGCGGAUCGUUAAGUCAGUGGUAAAAUUGAGGGGCUAAACCCCUUCCCGCCAUUGAAACUGUACGGCUGGAGUGCAGGAGAGGUAAGUGGAAUUCCUAGUGUAGCGGUGAAAUGCGUAGAUAUUAGGAGGAACACCAGUGGCGAAGGCGGCUUACUGGACUGUAACUGACGUUGAGGCUCGAAAGCGUGGGGAGCAAACAGGAUUAGAUACCCGAGUAGUC